AGACACGCUCAUGUUGCAUACUUACUACGCAUUUUUGUGUCUGGAAAAAAAUAUUUAUUUCACCCUCCAUUGCUUCGCAAAUCAUUAAUUUCAAAACAUCCGCAGAGGGGAUGCGACUAAUAAGGUCAUGUAUCGAGCUAAUGUUAUUGUAUUCGGAACACUGGGAAACCCAAACUUGAAAAACAUCCCAGAGGGGGAUGCGACUAAUGACGUCACGUAUCGAGCUAAUGCUGUAUUGUAGUCGGAACGCGCAGAAAGCAAAAUUAACAAUACCAACAAUCAAGGUUUUAAACGGAUGUAAACAGAACAGACAUGACAAAAAAUAACAGAUUUUAUUUUUGUUGAUGUGGGGAAAUUAGCCGGGUGGAGAUGCUAAAGUAACCAGGUUAUUUUACCGGCUCCCGGCCCAUUUCUACACCCCUGUGUAUUAGGAAUUCGCGAAUCACGUGUCACUUUGUUUUGACAGCCGUUGCUGCUUGGGACAAUAAAGUUAAGUCAGCAACCGUCUACCAGACUGCAAGAUUCAUCUCUUCCAAAGGAUGUCGUACCUUUCCAGAUACACUGUGUUUUGUGUGGAUAAGAAAUGCAGAGUGGUACCACCAAUCACCUAAGCCACCAUUCCCCUAACAGACAAUAGGCUCAUGGGGACAGUUCCUGCAAUUUACAGAAAAGCUCUCAAUUGUAGCCCUACGAACUUCAGAUACUGCUGAUGGUUAAGCUUGGGUGCACCGGGCCGGUUUUCCAGCCUUGUGGAAUCAACAUCUCCAGCUGAACUGGGGCCGGGAAUUAUAUAAGACUCCUUAGCAGCAUGAGUGCCAGCCAGUCAUUGCUGUUCUUUGCAUUGCUGAGGAGGACAGUCAUGCCAACAUAACAGUUUGUUCAAUAACAGGAGACAAACAGAAACAUAGAGGUGCUAUACAUUCUGAUGGAAAAACAAAAGCAUCUCCCAUCAUUUUGGCGUGGCUCAGAUCAAGAGGAGAAUUUUAAGAAAGGUGAUGGUUGGGCACACACAAGAAGACAUAGAUCACAGGUGUCUAGCCAUAUGAGUAGAUAGGAGUGUCACACUCUGCCAAACUUACUUCAUCAGACGAGCAGAAAGCUUCUCAAGAUCCCGCACUGCACACUAAGACAUAGUCUUUGACUACAACAAGGUGAUGAAAGUACAGAGAGAUCCAAUUGAAAUCAAUUCUGUGCUACUGUCAUUUCUUCAUUCUGGAAGUCGAUGGACAUGAUUUAUCAUGGCAUCAAGUGUGCAGUUUGUCGACUAUCAGCAGUCUUGUUCACCAGCUGUGCAACUUGAGCUGGUAGCUUUAUUGCUUGAAGCCACUGCAUAAGAGGAGGGAAGGUGCAGGUUCAUCAAAAAGUCCCAAAAGUUGAAACUAGGAAAAGAAGUUUAUCAAGAGUGUGAAUCUAUUUUGAAAACAAUCGUUACAAUGAUUUGGUUUCCUUUGAAACUUGAUACAUACUAUGAAUUGAGAUGCUUAAAUAAAAAACCGCUAUUCAAUUAUCAGGAAACUGCCUUUUUCAUACUAAAGGGUAAAUGAUGUCGCCAUUUCCUGUAUGUAUUUAAAUAAGAUAUGUCUCCACAAUUAA
Long non-coding RNA from Mya arenaria, 1593 nucleotides. RefSeq lists it as uncharacterized. The record is from RefSeq and is a predicted model, not a curated record. NCBI's taxonomy places the organism in Eukaryota, Metazoa, Mollusca, Bivalvia, Myida, Myidae. The transcript is spliced from 7 exons.